UUGAGCGGAGAUAUAUGGAGCUUGCUUUAUAUAACUUAGCAGCGAUUUGGUGAGUAACACGUAGAUAAUCUAUCCUAUACUGGGGGAUAGCCCGAUGAAAGUUGGAUUAAUACCGCAUAUAGCUAUAUAGUUGCAUGAUUAUGUAGUGAAAGAUUUAUUGGUAUAGGAGGAGUCUGCGGCACAUUAGCUAGUAGGUGAGGUAAAGGCUUACCUAGGCGACGAUGUGUAGCCGGUCUGAGAGGAUGAACGGCCACAAUGGAACUGAGACACGGUCCAUACUCCUACGGGAGGCAGCAGUGGGGAAUAUUGCACAAUGGGGGAAACCCUGAUGCAGCAACGCCGCGUGAGUGAAGAAGGUUUUCGGAUUGUAAAGCUCUGUUAGCAGGGAAGAGGAAGGACGGUACCUGCAGAGGAAGCCACGGCUAACUACGUGCCAGCAGCCGCGGUAAUACGUAGGUGGCAAGCGUUGUCCGGAAUAACUGGGCGUAAAGGAUGCGUAGGCGGUUAAACAAGUUAUAUGUUAAAUAUAUAGGCUUAACCUGUAGAAAGCAUAUAAAACUGUUUAACUAGAGUGCAGGAGAGGUAAGUGGAAUUCCUAGUGUAGCGGUGAAAUGCGUAGAGAUUAGGAAGAACACCAGUGGCGAAGGCGACUUACUGGACUGUAACUGACGCUGAGGCAUGAGAGCAUGGGGAGCAAACAGGAUUAGAUACCCUGGUAGU
RNAcentral lists this ribosomal RNA (720 nucleotides) under uncultured bacterium. Its description in RNAcentral is "bacterial SSU rRNA". It matches the Rfam family "Bacterial small subunit ribosomal RNA", at positions 62 to 794 of the family's 1533-position model. The record is from RNAcentral.